AGAGUUUGAUCCUGGCUCAGGACGAACGCUGGCGGCGCACCUAAGACAUGCAAGUCGAACGGUCGUCUUUUCGUCGCAAGACGGGGAGGGGAUAGUGGCGGACGGGUGAGUAACACAUAAGGGACCUGCCCUGGAGUGGGGGAUAGCCUGGGGAAACCGAGGGUAAGCCCGCGUACGCUCCUCCGCAUAGUGGCGGGGGAGGAAAUGCCUCUUGCUAAGAGGGGAAGCUCUGGGAGGGCCUUGUGGCGGAUUAGCUAGUUGGGGGGGUAGAAGCCUCCCAAGGCGACGAUCCGUCGCUGGUCUGAGAGGAUGACCAGCCACACCGGGACUGAGACACGGCCCGGACUCCUACGGGAGGCAGCAGUUAGGGAAUUUUCCCAAUGGGCGCAAGCCUGAGGGAGUGACGCCGCGUGCGGGAGGACGCUUUUCGGAGUGUAAACCGCUUUUGGGGGGGACGAGAUGGACGGUACCCCUCGAACAAGCCCCGGCUAACUACGUGCCAGCAGCCGCGGUAAUACGUAGGAGGCGAGCGUUGUCCGGAUUUAUUGGGCGUAAAGGGCGCGUAGGCGGCCGUCGCGCAUCCGGCGUGAAAUCUCCCCGCUCAACGGGGAGGGGUCGGCGGAGAUGGCGGGGCUAGAGGGCGGUAGAGGCAGAUGGAAGUCCCGCAGUAGUGGUGAAAUGCGUAGAGAGCGGGAGGAACACCAGAGGCGAAGGCGAUCUGCUGGGCCGGCUCUGACGCUGAGGCGCGACAGCCAGGGGAGCGAACGGAAUUAGAUACUCCGGUAGUCC
Molecule: ribosomal RNA, 789 nt
Filed under: uncultured bacterium
Lineage: Bacteria
Description: bacterial SSU rRNA
Rfam family: Bacterial small subunit ribosomal RNA
Source: RNAcentral